GACGAACGCUGGCGGCGUGCCUAAUACAUGCAAGUAGAACGCUGAAGGAGGAGCUUGCUUCUCUGGAUGAGUUGCGAACGGGUGAGUAACGCGUAGGUAACCUGCCUGGUAGCGGGGGAUAACUAUUGGAAACGAUAGCUAAUACCGCAUGAUAUUGAUUAUUGCAUGAUAGUCAAUUAAAAGGUGCAAUUGCAUCACUACCAGAUGGACCUGCGUUGUAUUAGCUAGUUGGUGAGGUAACGGCUCACCAAGGCAACGAUAUAUAGCCGACCUGAGAGGGUGAUCGGCCACACUGGGACUGAGACACGGCCCAGACUCCUACGGGAGGCAGCAGUAGGGAAUCUUCGGCAAUGGACGGAAGUCUGACCGAGCAACGCCGCGUGAGUGAAGAAGGUUUUCGGAUCGUAAAGCUCUGUUGUAAGAGAAGAACGAGUGUGAGAGUGGAAAGUUCACACUGUGACGGUAUCUUACCAGAAAGGGACGGCUAACUACGUGCCAGCAGCCGCGGUAAUACGUAGGUCCUGAGCGUUGUCCGGAUUUAUUGGGCGUAAAGCGAGCGCAGGCGGUUAGAUAAGUCUGAAGUUAAAGGCUGUGGCUUAACCAUAGUAUGCUUUGGAAACUGUUUUACUUGAGUGCAAAGGGGAGAGUGGAAUUCCAUGUGUAUUGGCGUAACU
Molecule: ribosomal RNA, 674 nt
Filed under: uncultured Streptococcus sp.
Lineage: Bacteria; Bacillati; Bacillota; Bacilli; Lactobacillales; Streptococcaceae
Description: bacterial SSU rRNA
Rfam family: Bacterial small subunit ribosomal RNA
Source: RNAcentral